Long non-coding RNA from Syzygium oleosum, 1071 nucleotides. RefSeq lists it as uncharacterized. NCBI's taxonomy places the organism in Eukaryota, Viridiplantae, Streptophyta, Magnoliopsida, Myrtales, Myrtaceae. The transcript has 2 exons. The record is from RefSeq and is a predicted model, not a curated record.
CUUUUAUCACGAUCCAUUAUGUUUCUCAAUGACCUACCACUCUCAUUUAUAUGAGGACUCGACUUAGACACGUGUCGAUCGACUAUUGCGUAUGUUAUGGUGCCAGGAGGGACAAUAAGUAAACAGUUAUACCACAUGCACCCAUGAUAAAGUAAAGGAUGCUAAACAUUUUGCUUUGAUUCGUUCACUAAAUAAUUUGGAGGGACGGUAUAUAUGGUCCAUGAGCAGCUGAGAUCGAGCAGACCCUUUUGGGUAGAAAAGGGGAGUUUUCUAAAAGCUAAUUAAUUUAUCCUUUCUACUGAAUUAUUUGUAUAACUAGCUUUCGUUUGGAUCUAUGUGGAUGGAAUCAACCGAGAAUGGUUAGAGGGAGCCUUUGUUUAGAGUGCUAGGGCUAGAUUCCUCUUGAUCAAUCUAUAACAACAGCUAAUUGAUGUACGUCCCAUGGGUGUAUUAGCAGGUCAGAAAUGAGUAACUUUUAGGAAUAGGAUCAUCAUUCGACCUGACGGAUAACAACAAUGCUUUUAACUUAUGCACAGCCUCUUCUGCUGCAUCAUUGAUGUAUAUCUGUAAUAGGAGACUAGCAUAAGUACUUGUCCAUGAAAAAGGUUGAUUCCUAGUAAUGCCAUUAAUUAGUUAUUGCGCAUCACAUCGAGUGUUCCCUCUUUUGUUUAACCAUUCACACAAAGCAGGUGGACAAGCUUUCUCUCCACGCCGGCUUCAAUAAUGGAGAGGAUCGAUCCACGAGGAAUCACUUUCCAGCUUGGUCUACUACUAAAAAAAUUGAGUAGAAUAUAUCACAGCUUUUUGAAUUGCCAAGAAGUCUACUAACGAUGGUAUUGUGAUGUAAAAAGACCGCUUAUCUGGUUAUACUAUUGCAUGUCAUCAUUAAUGGUAAUGCUAGAGAAGUCAUUGCAUGCACAUUUCUACGGAUUCAUAAACCGUUAUCAUCUCGAUUAUUAAUUGUUAAGCUCACAUAAUCAAUAAUAGAGAUGACUUAUCUUCAUGGUCUGUGUAUAAGUCAUUUAUUCUUUUUAUUCGAAUAUUUCGUCUCUUUAGAUUAAUUGCCGGGAA